Molecule: long non-coding RNA, 453 nt
Organism: Anastrepha obliqua
Lineage: Eukaryota; Metazoa; Arthropoda; Insecta; Diptera; Tephritidae
Exons: 3
Source: RefSeq, a predicted model, not a curated record
UCGGAAUUUUACAUUAAACAAAUAAGAAAGAAUAUCAUGAAAAAAAAACAUUUAAACAAAAUGAGUUACGCGAAAAAUUAGUGCAAAAAAAUAAAUCAAUGCGAAUGAAAUAUGUACAUAUACAUAUAUCUUUUGGUUAUGGAAAAACCUGCAAAGCCGGAGCAUCAAGGGCUAUAGCGAUAAAAUCAAAUCCAAUUGAAAAUAUGGAAACUUCAAAUUCGCGUAACAAAUAAAAAAUGUCGUUUGUGGCAAACCUUCAAGUAUCAUAUAUUUCUGCCAUGAAACAGCUCCGCAUAAAAAGCCGUUUGGAGUCGACUUAAAACUGUAGGGGUCCCUCCAUUUGUGGAACAACAUCAAGACGCACACCACAACUAGGAGGAGGAGCUCACUCAAAUACCUAGUAGUCACGACAAAGUGCUCUCUUCUUCCACUUGAAUCUGAAUACAUACAUAU